RNAcentral lists this ribosomal RNA (253 nucleotides) under uncultured bacterium. RNAcentral describes it as "partial 16S ribosomal RNA". It matches the Rfam family "Bacterial small subunit ribosomal RNA", at positions 524 to 776 of the family's 1533-position model. The record is from RNAcentral.
UACGAAGGGGGCUAGCGUUGCUCGGCAUCACUGGGCGUAAAGCGCACGUAGGCGGCUUUCUAAGUCGGAGGUGAAAUCCUGGAGCUCAACUCCAGAACUGCCUUUGAUACUGGAGAGCUUGAGUUCGGGAGAGGUGAGUGGAACUGCGAGUGUAGAGGUGAAAUUCGUAGAUAUUCGCAAGAACACCAGUGGCGAAGGCGGCUCACUGGCCCGGUACUGACGCUGAGGUGCGAAAGCGUGGGGAGCAAACAGG